This 253-nucleotide ribosomal RNA is filed under the name uncultured bacterium. RNAcentral describes it as "partial 16S ribosomal RNA". It matches the Rfam family "Bacterial small subunit ribosomal RNA", at positions 524 to 776 of the family's 1533-position model. The record is from RNAcentral.
UACGUAGGGUGCAAGCGUUGUUCGGAAUCAUUGGGCGUAAAGCGCGUGUAGGCGGCUAUUUAAGUCGGGUGUGAAAUCCCUCGGCUCAACCGAGGAAGUGCAUUCGAAACUGGAUAGCUCGAAGAUGGUAGGGGAAGGUGGAAUUCCAAGUGUAGAGGUGAAAUUCGUAGAUAUUUGGAGGAAUACCGGUGGCGAAGGCGGCCUUCUGGGCCACUCUUGACGCUGAGACGCGAAAGCGUGGGUAGCAAACAGG